ACCCGCUGAACUUAAGCAUAUCAAUAAGCGGAGGAAAAGACACCAACAGGGAUUGCCCUAGUAACGGCGAGUGAAGCGGCAACAGCUCAAAUUUGAAAUCUGGCUCUUUUAGAGUCCGAGUUGUAAUUUGCAGAGGGCGCUUUGGCUUUGGCAGCGGUCCAAGUUCCUUGGAACAGGACGUCACAGAGGGUGAGAAUCCCGUACGUGGUCGCUGGCUAUUGCCGUGUAAAGCCCCUUCGACGAGUCGAGUUGUUUGGGAAUGCAGCUCUAAAUGGGAGGUACAUUUCUUCUAAAGCUAAAUAUUGGCCAGAGACCGAUAGCGCACAAGUAGAGUGAUCGAAAGAUGAAAAGCACUUUGGAAAGAGAGUCAAACAGCACGUGAAAUUGUUGAAAGGGAAGCGCUUGCAGCCAGACUUGCUUACAGUUGCUCAUCCGGGCUUUUGCCCGGUGCACUCUUCUGUAGGCAGGCCAGCAUCAGUUUGGGCGGUAGGAUAAAGGUCUCUGUCACGUACCUCUCUUCGGGGAGGCCUUAUAGGGGAGGCGACAUACUACCAGCCUGGACUGAGGUCCGCGCAUCUGCUAGGAUGCUGGCGUAAUGGCUGU
Molecule: ribosomal RNA, 603 nt
Filed under: uncultured fungus
Lineage: Eukaryota; Fungi
Description: eukaryotic LSU rRNA
Rfam family: Eukaryotic large subunit ribosomal RNA
Source: RNAcentral